Molecule: ribosomal RNA, 468 nt
Filed under: uncultured bacterium
Lineage: Bacteria
Description: partial 16S ribosomal RNA
Rfam family: Bacterial small subunit ribosomal RNA
Source: RNAcentral
GACGAACGCUGGCGGCGUGCUUAACACAUGCAAGUCGAACGGUAAGGUCGUGGUUUUGUGCGGUGCUCGAGUGGCGUCCGAGUGAGAAAUAGGUGAGUACCCUGCGGUGGGGUUUAGGAUAGCUUCAGGAAUCUGGGGCUAGUACGGGAUAGGAGGUCAUGCUCCGUGGUGGGCGUGGCAAAGUUUCGGCGGUUGGGGAUGGAGCCGCGGCGUAAGCGUUUGUUGGGGGGGUUGAGGCUUACCAAGGCAUUGAAGGGUAACCGGCCUGCGAGGGUGAACGGCCACAAUGGGACUGGGGUACGGGCCAGACUCCUACGGGAGGCAGCAGGGGGGAAUAUUGCACAAUUGGCCGAAGGCUGGUGCAACAACGCCGGGGGCGGGAAAACGGCGUUCGGGUGGUAAACCGCCUUCGCCUGUGACGGAGCGUUAAUGACGGUAAUGGAUGAAGAAGCACCGGCUAACUACGUG